UUUUUUCCUCCAUUCAUCAAAUACUCUUCCUAAUCUAGCUAAUAUAAUGGUCAGUUGACCUGCAUACCUGGGCGUUGUUUAACUCAUUCCUUUACCUGUGCAAAAUGAGUGUGCAAAGAAAAACACCUAUGUCUGUCUAUACAGAGACAUAAAACCUGAGUUUCAAUAAAAAGUUUCUAAUAUAAGAAAACUUCUUAAUGUAGGAAAAUAACUUUUAAAGGGCAAAAAAUACCUUUGUACAAUAUAAUCUGCUAACUUUAAAACUUCAGUGUGCAUAAGCAUCACAUAUUUUAUAGGAGCCAACAAAAAAAGCAACCAUUUACAAUUUUCUUAACUAUAGCUUAGAUACCCAUAUUUUAAUUUCUAAUGUCUAUUUUCAUUCCCCUGAAUUCAUUAACUUUUCUAAAAGAAAAAUGUUAAAAGCACAUUCAGAUAUGAGGACUGUGAUGAACAGUUCCUGCUUUUUUCUAAAUAUUGAGGACCUAGGAGAUAUGGGGUUGCUAGGCGUAUAACAAUGCCAAGCCACAAAGGAAUUCUAAAAUUCAAAAGAAAUAUAAUCUAUUUUUAAAAGAAACUAUUUGGAAAAAUAUUUUGUGGAUAGAGUUGGGUCAAAGUCUGCAAGAAGCCGUUCUUACCUG
This 638-nucleotide long non-coding RNA is filed under the name Bos taurus (domestic cattle). RNAcentral describes it as "long non-coding RNA NONBTAT018653". Lineage: Eukaryota; Metazoa; Chordata; Mammalia; Artiodactyla; Bovidae. The record is from RNAcentral.